Molecule: ribosomal RNA, 268 nt
Filed under: uncultured bacterium
Lineage: Bacteria
Description: partial 16S ribosomal RNA
Rfam family: Bacterial small subunit ribosomal RNA
Source: RNAcentral
UACAGAGGUCUCAAGCGUUGUUCGGAUUCAUUGGGCGUAAAGGGUGCGUAGGUGGCGCCGUAAGUCGGGUGUGAAAUUUCGGAGCUUAACUCCGAAACUGCAUUCGAUACUGCGGUGCUUGAGGACUGGAGAGGAGACUGGAAUUCAUGGUGUAGCAGUGAAAUGCGUAGAGAUCAUGAGGAAGACCAGUGGCGAAGGCGACACGCUGGGCCGUACCUGACACUGAUGCGCGACAGCAUGGGGAGCAAACAGGAUUAGAAACCCCUAG